GUCUACGGUCAUACCGCCCUGAAUGUGCCCGUUCUCGUCUGAUCUCGGAAGCAAAGCAGGGUCAGGCCUGGUUAGUCUUGGAUGGGAGACUGCCUGGGAAUACUGGGUGCUGUAGGCU
This 118-nucleotide ribosomal RNA is filed under the name Saimiri boliviensis boliviensis (Bolivian squirrel monkey). The record is from RNAcentral. Lineage: Eukaryota; Metazoa; Chordata; Mammalia; Primates; Cebidae.